GGUGACCUCGAAUCAGGUAGGACUACCCGCUGAACUUAAGCAUAUCAAUAAGCGGAGGAAAAGAAACCAACAGGGAUUGCCCUAGUAACGGCGAGUGAAGCGGCAACAGCUCAAAUUUGAAAUCUGGCCUUCGGGUUCGAGUAGUAAUUUGUAAGAGAUGCUUUUGGUGAGGUACCUUCCGAGUUCCCUGGACGGGACGCAUAGAGGUGAGAGCCCCGUCUGUUGAUACUAAUCUCUGUAAAGCUCCUUCGACGAGUCGAGUAGUUGGAAUGCUGCUCUAACUGAAGUAUAUGGUUGUCUAAAGCUAAUUACCGCCAGAGA
Molecule: ribosomal RNA, 321 nt
Filed under: Calonectria asiatica
Lineage: Eukaryota; Fungi; Ascomycota; Sordariomycetes; Hypocreales; Nectriaceae
Description: eukaryotic LSU rRNA
Rfam family: Eukaryotic large subunit ribosomal RNA
Source: RNAcentral